Non-coding RNA from Stegodyphus mimosarum, 113 nucleotides. The record is from Rfam. NCBI's taxonomy places the organism in Eukaryota, Metazoa, Arthropoda, Arachnida, Araneae, Eresidae.
ACAGAUAUGGAGAUAUGGUUCCUGCAACACCAACGGGGAAAAUCGUUGGUGGUGUGUGUUCUCUAAGCGGAGUGUUGGUCAUUGCCCUUCCCGUACCAGUCAUCGUUUCAAAU